GCUGGGUACAGUGGCGCAGGCCUGUAGUCCCAGCAGCUUGGGAGGCUGAGGCAGGGGGAUCACGAGUUCAAAGUCAGCCUCAUCAAAAAGUGAGGCACUAAGUAACUGAAUGAGACCGUGUCUCUA
This 126-nucleotide small RNA is filed under the name Marmota monax (woodchuck). The record is from RNAcentral. Lineage: Eukaryota; Metazoa; Chordata; Mammalia; Rodentia; Sciuridae.